This 6757-nucleotide long non-coding RNA is filed under the name Sus scrofa (pig). RNAcentral's name for it is "lncRNA (ENSSSCG00055008585.1)". The record is from RNAcentral. Lineage: Eukaryota; Metazoa; Chordata; Mammalia; Artiodactyla; Suidae.
AAUGUUGUGCUAGUUUCAGGUCUGCAGCCAAGUGAUUCGGUUAGAUAUACAUUAUUGUUUAGAUUCUUUUCCAUUAUUUAUUACAAAAUAUUGAAUACGAUUCCCUGUACUAUACAGGAGGACCUUGUUGUAUAUCUAUUUUUACAUACUGCAUUUUGUAUCUGCUAAUCUCAAACUUCUAAUUUAUUCCCCUCCCUUCCUUUCCCCAUUGGUAACCAUAAGUUGUUUUCUAUGUCUGUGAGUCUAUUUUGUUUUGUAAAUAAGUUCAUUUGUACCAUGUUUUUAGAUUCCGCAUAUAAAUGAUAUCAUAUUUUUCUUUCUCUGACUUACUUCACUUAAUGUGAUAAUUUCUAGGUCCAUCUAUGAUGCUGCAAAUGGCAUUAUUUCCUUCUUUUUAGUGGCUGAGUAAUAUUCCAUUGUGUAAAUAUAGCAUAUCUUUAGCCAUACAUCUAUCAAUGGACACUUAUGUUGCAUCCAUGUCUUGGCUAUUGUAAAAAGUGCUGCUAUGAUCAUUGGGAUGCAUGUUUGUUUUUGAAUUAGAGUUUUCUCCAGAUAUAUGAUCAGGAGUAGGAUAGCUGGAUCAUAUGAUAAACUUUAUUUUUAGUUUUAAGGAAUCUUGGUGCUAUUUUCCAUAAUGGCUGCACCAAUUUACAUUCCUACUAAGAAUAUAGAAGGGUUCCCUUUUCUCCACACCCUCUCCAGCAUUUAUUUGCAGGCUUUUUGAUGAUAACUCCACCACCUGAGGCUGCUCUUACUCCCAAGUUCCCUCUCUCAGCUCUGCCUGAAAAUAGACCCAACUGAAACGCCAAAAGAUCCUACCAAGUAGUCUAAUGCUAGCAAGCCCCUGAAUCCUGCCACAUCAAGUCCACUACAAACUGCAGUCACUUGUUCUAGCCAAAUUAUUAUUUCAGAGAAAACUUCUAUUUGUUUUGAUAAUUGUUUCUGUUCUUUGGAAAAAAACAGUUCAAAAGUAGAGUCAGGUGCUACUUUAGGUACAUGAAACAAAUAUUCUAUUUAUUCUAUUUCUGUUCCAUAAUUUUAUGGGUAGAUGGUUGCUACUAUUCAUUCUGGUUGCUUUAGAUACCAUGUCUGUCUUACAUACUCUAACCAGCAUUAGUCCAUGCUCACAUGAGCAUUUAAUAAAGAAGAACCUUAUGGCUACAAGCCUCAUAGUUACCUCAAAUUAAAUACUACAGAGGAGGAAUCACUUUCUCUGAAAUGUAACCAUUAACUAAAAGAAAAAAAAGCCUGGUGUGGUGUGAGUCAUCUAUAAAGCAGGUGAUUUACAAUCCUGCAGUGUGAAGUAGGUGGCCACCUAUAAAGAAAGACUUCAGGGGUUCUCUCUCCAUCCCGAUCAAUGAAAUGUUCCUCCUAUGAGACAAAACUCAACAUUCUACAGUUAAAGUCUGAAAUGCAAAUACACCCAAGUAAGUUGUUUUAAAACUUUAGUCAUUCACAUACUCCUUUCAUGAUUCUUAUAAUAUCUGUGAACAAAUGUUCUAUCAUUAAUACAGUAUUUUCCUCUUAACACAAUUUUGCCAAGAUCAGUUAAUUUUUUGAAAGACCACUUAUAUAAUUACUUUAAAUAUACAAUACCUCUUGUAUAUAGCCAAUAUCACUUGCCAUAAAUAGAAGGAAGCCUAAAAAAAUGAAUGUGACUAACAAAAAUUAGGAGUUUCCAUUGGGCUCAGCAGGUUAAGAAAUUGACAUAGUAUCAGUGAGGAGGUGGGUUUAAGUCCUACCCUCGCUCAGUGGGUAAAGGAUUCAGCAUUGCCACCAGCUGCGGGGUAGGUACCAGAUAUGUCUCAGAUCUGGUGUUGCUGUGGCUGUGGUGUAGGCCAGCAGCUGCAGCUCCUAUUCGACCACUAGCCCAGGAACUUCCAUAUGCUUCAGAUGAGCCAUAAAAAGAAAAAAUAAAAGAGUAAAUGAGUGAUAUCAGUGCUCUCAAUACCUCUCUAUCUUAUCCCCUCAUUAAAGGAGGAGCAACCACCAAAAAGUAGGAAGGGCAGUGAGAAUCUGAAGGAUCAUGGGUGAAGGCUGGGUGUCACAAGCUAUAAGAAAUAAAGGUAUGAAUGAGCAGACUGUUGUUCUCCCCAAAAUUAUUUAUAUCUGGGGCUGUCCUUGCAUGUCUCAUAAAGGAAGUUCCCUGCACUGUUUGAUAUGAAGGUCCUUUCUCCACACCUAUGCACCAUCUCUUUUAGACAUACACAUCUGAGCUCACAAAUUACCCAUCACAAAGAAAUCACAUGCUGUUAAUAGGUCUCUUCACUGUGGCUCAAAGUACAGAAAAAAUGCCAGUCCCUGUGCUGAAACCAAAUUUCUGGAAUACUAACAGGAGGUCCCAAUAGCAGGAGACAUAUUACCUAGAGGUCACCCCAAUAACUCCUGGAGCAAGCUCCUAAAUUCUUCUGCUUAUUGCCACAUUCACAACAAAGGGUCAUGUAUUCUAGCUCUCCCUGGAUAUCCUCCUCUCCAAUCAAAUUUCCAAUAGUCUAUCAUUUUUCCAUUGUGCUUAACAUCUAGUUCUCAUCAAAACAGGUGCCUAAUUUAUAGAAAAAUGAAGGGCAUGAAUCCAAAUGAAUCAACCAUUCAUUCAAAUGAAUGAAUGUAUGACAACAGAUUAGCUUCAUAGAAAGGAACACCUGCAUGCCUAAGGCAUGUCCCCAAAUUAUCUCAACACUGUUCAAAGUCACCAAGAAACAUAGCACAAAUCCCAUCAGUGUGUCUUUUCAGAGAAAUGACAAGAUCUCCUUCCCUUGCCCUAGCUGGAUAAAGAUCUGCUACACUCUCUCUUUAAAGUGUCUCCUCUUUACAAGUUGUGCAGUCUUGGUCAAGCCACUUAACUUCUCUGAACUCCUGUUCCCUCAUCUCUUAAAUUCUGAAGAAUAAUAUCUGCCCCAUUGGGUACAGUAAAGAUUAAAUGACAGAAUUCAAGAAAAGUGACUACCACAUUACCUGAAGUAUACAAUAAGCUUAAAGAUGCUAGCUGAAUUUUCAGACCAGAUCACAAUACCAUGAUAAAUAUUAAUGGCUUAAUGGUUCCAUGUUGUUACAAGGUGACACCCACAUGCUUUCAUUCACUGUCAUAAUGUCUUCCCUGUUUGCCAGAGUUUUUAAUGUUUAUAGGAAGAACGGAGCAGGGAAGCAGGACUAUUGUCAUGAAGGGGCACAGAUUCACAUGCAAAGAGCUCAUGAAUGCAUCUCAACAAAUGUAUCCAGGGUUGAUGAUGACUACAAUUUGCUCCCAUUUUGAAGCCCCUGCAUUUUUCAUCUCUUUCUUGCCAUGAAUCUCCUAUACUUCUAAUACCACGUUUCAAAUCAGAGGGACAAGCACCUGCAGCCACAGGACGGGAUGUUUAGGAUCUAAUGCCUGAAAUAUUUUUCAGACAGAAAACACUCUCCCAGUGCCCCUACCCUGGAGAUGGUAAACUACUCUGACAUCUCAGCUGUUGCCCCUCCAAGCAGAUUCACACACCUCUCGGCUAACACACCCUUUGGGUAGGCAUCUAAUCGUGUUUACAGUUAUUCAUUAUGACUAGCUAUACACAGAUAAUGCCUUUGGUGUCAAACAGAAUGGCCCCGUAGACCCCUAGUCCAAGACAGCUGGAAGAUACAGACGCACAUUAAAUAAGACACAGGCAGUAGAAUCACAUUCAUUUCCUGGAGAUGCAGAGAGACUGAAGCUGACCUGCUAGAGCCCUCCAGAGCUCCAGGGUGGGGAGGCACACAGCAAGCAGAGUGGAAUCAAAAAAUCUGAGGUACUUCAGGGUUAGAAAGCUUGCAGAGCAGCUUCUGUGGGUGUCCGCAAGUAAGUAUGCCAGCAAGGAAAAACAUGAACUGUUUUUCAGGGGAUCACCUCGAACCAGAAGGACCAGUAGUCAUUCUAAGUACCAGGGUAUGCUACUGAACUUCUGAGUUAGUGUACAUCUAUUGCGAUUUCAUGUACCUCUCUGUGGAAGAAUCACUCCAGGAACAUAAGGGAGGGACAUGCCUUUCAGCAUCUGCGAUCAUCUAAAUGGAAAGCCAUGGAGGGGUAUAUUGGGCCAGGGGUGGGAUGCAAAUAAUGACCUCCAAUCCUCAGCAUCCAUUAAGACGAACACUCUGUGUUGAAACAAGAGGAACUUGCAUUUCCUCAAAAGGCAUUUAGACACAGUAGCAUAAUUGGGAGUGAAUAGAAAGAGCAGCACAUUUCCCCAUUGACACAGCUGUAUUGAAAAAUCAACCCGUGGCUCUAAAGGAAAUGAGAAAACACAACUGGUGAUUUCUAGCAUGGCAUUCAUUUUUGUGAUCCCUCAAUUCUCAGUUCAAGUAUAAACAGACUAUCUCCCCCCUCUGAAGUAAGAAGGGGAUUAAGUAGGCAGGAUGCUCUCUGAGUUCUGUGUAGCAUAUGUUCAUAAGCUAUCCUUUUGUAGCAUUUAUGGAUUCAUUCUGGAGUAGGGUUAAGCCGGAGCAAAGUAAUUUGGCAAGCUUGCAUUUGCUUUAUCAGGAGAAGCAAAUGCAGUCUAUAGGGGCCACCCUGACCUGAGUGGCAAAAAAGCUCCCUGGAGUCCUGAGGGGGAUACUGAUUAUUUUCCUUACAGGGAUGCUCGAGCUGAGCCAUCGUCCCUACAAAACAGUAAAUGAGCUUCAUGCAAAUUAUCCUCAGGAAAGUGGUGGCCCAGGGGACAAGAGUGAUCAUUAUCACACAAACUUAAUUUCUGACCAACUUCAACAAACACCCUAUGGUAUCUUCCCUACCACACAACCUCAGGGUCAGCAUUCGAACCAUCGCAGCCUAAGGACCUGUGCUCUCCAAAUCUGUACUUCCACUUCUUUAUGCUACAUGCACUCGAUGGAGUACAGUGUAGCCCUUAAUGAUGAUGUGGUAGAAGAAUUUUUAACAUUCACAAUACAACAUUAAGUGGCAAAAGCAAUAUGGACAAUUUUUCUAAAGAUACAUCUAUAUAGAGAACUGACUAGAAAGAAAUACCCCAAAUGUCUGGGCAUCUCUGAGCAGUAGGGUUAUCAGCAAUCUCUAUUAUCUUUUCUUUUGCUGAUCCCUUUUCCAAAUAUUCUAAAAUGUAAAUGUAUUAUCUUUGCAAUAGGAAUAAAGUAAUUAUAACGUGAUUUAAAGAUACAGAUUGGUGGGAAUAACAUCACCAAGAUGGCAACAUAGGUGUCCUAAUGUUCUACUCUUUACAAGAACAACAACAACUAUUCAAGAAUAAGACACCACUGAGAGAAUCCUAGAGCAGAGACAUGAGGCUGAAGCACCCCCCUCCCCAAUACCACAGAGACCAAGAGAAACUGCAUCAGAAGUUAAGAGAAGUGGUUAUAUAUUGACCAUAUUCCCGCAUCUCCAGGCAAGCAUAGUACCACGUGGAGAGGUUUUUCCUGAGUCUCCAGCUCCUUCAGUGGGAAGGAGAACACAGUGGGUACAACCAGCACCCCCUAGAAUUGUGAGUCUCAUUAUAAGAGCCCCUGCUGUAAUUUCACAUCAUGGAGAUUGCAGUGGGAUCUUUGGGUGUCAACCACUAGGAAUCUGACUGUGAAGGAGAUGUGGGCAAGGCUUGCAACAACCAGGACAGGGAUCUUGGCAGACCAAGUUCAUACCUGCAGUGCCCAAGUAGUAAUCGUAGAGGGUCUGCCCCUGUGCAAAACCAAGUAGAGGGCAAUUCUGACCAAGUAACCCAAAAGAGUACAGAUCUACCUGAUCCUCAAAAGAGGAAUCUUUCAACCCUGAAACCCAGUUUGGCCACACCCAGACCAGGAACUGAAUCAGUACCCCACACACUGCUGAGAGUAUAUUCCAGUCCUCUCUAACCAGAAGGGCUGGAGAAAACUCCUGGAAACUGAGCAGCCCAGCUAUGCUCAACCCAAACCCAAGAGGCAGGCAAGCAGACCUGGUUGCCCCAGAGCAAAGCUAGUACCAGGGUUGGAGCAUUUUCAUGCUCAAGCAGGAAGACUAAUUUAUAGCCAAGGCUGAGGGGAGCACACUGCCCCUCCUGACCAAAGAGCUGGUUUGAGAAACUGAGAGAAGCCUGGAGUGACCCCCUCCCCCUUCAAAUCAGGCAAGGGAGAAGUGACAUAACCCCAAACUAUUAUGAAAUGCUUUAUUCUGCUAAUCUGACCAGAGGGCUGGAGAUAACUUCUGGAAGCUAUGUGGCCUAGUGACACUUAGACCAAGAGGUAGACAGAGCCAACAGUUUACAGAGCAAAGCCACUGGCCUUGUUCAGUCAGGGAACCUGGGGCAUAGGUCAGCUUGAGUUAAGAUAACAAUCAAGAGCUCCAACAGCUUUAGAGCUGCUUCUCCCAUUGCAUCCAGGUAGGAAAUGUAAUUCAAAACUCCACACUUUGCUGAAUACAGCCAUCGUCUGUCUAACUAGGGAAUCUAACCAGAGCACACAGGAUGAUUCGUAGCCCAUUCAAUAGUCCUAUGCAUACUGGCACUUAAACACAGAGAGCGCAGCCCAUGGCAGCCCUAAUCUGUAGGGCAAAACCAGUGGCCUCACCUGACCAGAGAUGCAUUUCAUACUCUGGACUGAUUCAGGACCCCAAACAAUGAGCUGCACAGGCCCUGGGUCCUGUCCUGCUACUCUGCUGGGGCAAGGAGUCUAAUUCACAACCCCAUCUACUUCUGAAUAUCAGUCCUAACCAUCUAGUAAGAUUGACCAUUGAAUCCAGGUAACCAUGGAGACAAUCCCAUAGCCUCCUCUAAGUAAGGAACCAAGCAAGGAGUCUUAUCCAACUGUUCUCACCCAGUGGUAUGACCUUCAU